Molecule: ribosomal RNA, 253 nt
Filed under: uncultured bacterium
Lineage: Bacteria
Description: partial 16S ribosomal RNA
Rfam family: Bacterial small subunit ribosomal RNA
Source: RNAcentral
UACGAAGGGUGCAAGCGUUACUCGGAAUCACUGGGCGUAAAGCGUGCGUAGGCGGUUGGUUAAGUCUGCUGUGAAAGCCCUGGGCUCAACCUGGGAACUGCAGUGGAUACUGGCCAGCUCGAGUGUGAUAGAGGAUGGUGGAAUUCCCGGUGUAGCGGUGAAAUGCGUAGAGAUCGGGAGGAACACCAGUGGCGAAGGCGGCCAUCUGGAUCAACACUGACGCUGAGGCACGAAAGCGUGGGGAGCAAACAGG